This 909-nucleotide ribosomal RNA is filed under the name uncultured Bacteroidota bacterium. RNAcentral describes it as "bacterial SSU rRNA". It matches the Rfam family "Bacterial small subunit ribosomal RNA", at positions 17 to 916 of the family's 1533-position model. The record is from RNAcentral. Lineage: Bacteria; Pseudomonadati; Bacteroidota.
UUAUGGCUCAGGAUGAACGCUAGCUACAGGCUUAACACAUGCAAGUCGAGGGGAAACGAUAUUGGAAGCUUGCUUCCGAUAGGCGUCGACCGGCGCACGGGUGAGUAACGCGUAUCCAACCUGCCCAUCACUUGGGGAUAACCUUGCGAAAGUAAGACUAAUACCCAAUGAUAUCUCAAGAAGACAUCUGAAUGAGAUUAAAGAUUUAUCGGUGAUGGAUGGGGAUGCGUCUGAUUAGCUUGUUGGCGGGGUAACGGCCCACCAAGGCGACGAUCAGUAGGGGUUCUGAGAGGAAGGUCCCCCACAUUGGAACUGAGACACGGUCCAAACUCCUACGGGAGGCAGCAGUGAGGAAUAUUGGCCAAUGGGCGAGAGCCUGAACCAGCCAAGUAGCGUGCAGGAUGACGGCCCUAUGGGUUGUAAACUGCUUUUAUAAGGGAAUAAAGUGAGCUACGUGUAGCUUUUUGCAUGUACCUUAUGAAUAAGGACCGGCUAAUUCCGUGCCAGCAGCCGCGGUAAUACGGAAGGUCCGGGCGUUAUCCGGAUUUAUUGGGUUUAAAGGGAGCGUAGGCCGGAGAUUAAGCGUGUUGUGAAAUGUAGAUGCUCAACAUCUGCACUGCAGCGCGAACUGGUUUCCUUGAGUACGCACAAAGUGGGCGGAAUUCGUGGUGUAGCGGUGAAAUGCUUAGAUAUCACGAAGAACUCCGAUUGCGAAGGCAGCUCACUGGAGCGCAACUGACGCUGAAGCUCGAAAGUGCGGGUAUCGAACAGGAUUAGAUACCCUGGUAGUCCGCACGGUAAACGAUGGAUGCCCGCUGUUGGUCUGAAUAGGUCAGCGGCCAAGCGAAAGCAUUAAGCAUCCCACCUGGGGAGUACGCCGGCAGCGGUGCAACUCAAAGGAAUUGACGG